This 356-nucleotide long non-coding RNA is filed under the name Daucus carota (carrot). RNAcentral's name for it is "long non-coding RNA (DCAR_LNC007238)". The record is from RNAcentral. Lineage: Eukaryota; Viridiplantae; Streptophyta; Magnoliopsida; Apiales; Apiaceae.
ACUAAUAAUCAAGAUACAGUUGUCUCUAAUCUACUUGCAUCGACACAAAGAUUUACUAGAAAUCCAAGGAGUGUAAGUAAUUUAAGGCCUUUGAUGGAUCCUAAUUGUCUAAGAACACUUUCUCUUUUUCAACCAAUUUUGAACUGACCCAAUCUCUAUCGAAACAAAUAUCUAGCCAAACUUCACAAACUUUUAUUCUUCUUCCCUCCUUUUUUUUUUCUUUUUUUUGAAUUGACUUUAUUUUGUCCGUUUUCUUAGGCAAACAAUGUUACCCAUGUAGCGAGCUUUAUGUCAGUGACUCCCAAACCAAACGGUCUUAGGGCACUAGGUUUUGAAAUCCCCCUACGGACUUAAUU